UCCUUAUCUUUAUCUUCCUUAUCCUUAUCCUUAUCCUUAUCUUUAUCCUUAUCUUUAUCUUCCUCAUCUUUAUCUUUAUCUUCUUAUCUUAUCUUUAUCCUUAUCUUUAUCAUCCUUAUCUUUAUCUUCCUUAUCUUUAUCCUUAUCUUAAUCUUUGUGUUCCUUAUCCUUAUCUUUAUCUUCCUUAUCUUUAUCUUUCUUAUCUUCCUUAUCUUUAUCUUUAUCCUCUUAUCUUUAUCCUCUUAUCUUUAUCCUUAUCUUUAUCCUUAUCUUUAUCUUCCUUAUCUUUAUCCUUAUCUUCUUAUCUUUAUCCUUAUCUUUAUCUUUAUGUUCCUUAUUCUUAUCUUUAUGUUCCUUAUCUUUACCUUCUUUAUCCUUAUCUUUAUCUUCUUAUCUUUA
Paramuricea clavata is the source of this 399-nucleotide non-coding RNA. The record is from the annotation of a GenBank genome assembly. NCBI's taxonomy places the organism in Eukaryota, Metazoa, Cnidaria, Anthozoa, Malacalcyonacea, Plexauridae.